AACCUUUACACUGCACGACAGUGCGAUAGGGGGACUCCGAGUGCGAGGGCAUAGAGCCCUCGCUUUUGUACACCGUAAGGUGGUGUACGAAUAAGAACUGGGCAAGACCGGCGCCAGCCGCCGCGGUAAUACCGGCAGUUCGAGUGAUGGCCGAUUUUAUUGGGCCUAAAGCGUUCGUAGCUGGCCGAUCAAGUCUGUCGGGAAAUCUGCUCGCCUAACGAGCAGGCGUCCGGCGGAAACUGAUCGGCUUGGGACCGGAAGACUCGAGGGGUACGUCCGGGGUAGGAGUGAAAUCCUGUAAUCCUGGACGGACCACCGAUGGCGAAAGCACCUCGAGAGCACGGAUCCGACAGUGAGGAACGAAAGCUGGGGUCUCGAACCGGAUUAGAUACCCGGGUAGUCCCAGCUGUCAACGAUGCCCGCUAGGUAUGGCGCAGGCUACGAGCCUGUGCUAUGCCGUAGCGAAGGCGCUAAGCGGGCCGCCUGGGAAGUACGUUCGCAAGAAUGAAACUUAA
This 515-nucleotide ribosomal RNA is filed under the name uncultured archaeon. Its description in RNAcentral is "bacterial SSU rRNA". It matches the Rfam family "Archaeal small subunit ribosomal RNA", at positions 345 to 859 of the family's 1478-position model. The record is from RNAcentral.